CCCCUCCUCCUCACCCUCCGUCUUUGCCCACCUGCGUGGACCUUGGGCCCACAUAAGCCUCCCUUGCCUCUGCUGGGACAUCUGCCCCAACCAGCCCUCACCAGGCCUGAGGAUCCCCACUCUCCACCAUGGGCCUCCUGUCCCUCCCCGUGGGGCACCUGGUCCCUCCCAGAAGUCCUGAGAAUGUGGUCUGCAGCAUCCUGGUGACCUGGGGGACAUGUGGGACACUGGAUGAUGGCCAGCAGACACACAGCCCGGUGGGACAGCUCCCUCAGGAUGCAUUUGGAAAUUCUAAAAAAGGGGUUCCUGCCUCCUGUGAAUUUACAUUCUCAAGGAGUGGAUGAAACAAUCAAGCCAGCUUUUCCUAAGGAAGCAGCAGCCACUCUGCCUGUUGAGAUGGUGUCUGCAAAAGGCAUUCUGGAGAAGAGUUAUAUAUAUAUAUAUAUAUUUUAUUCAAGAAGCAAAAUACUUUGAAGGGAAAUAAGUUCCCUCUCUCCUCCCAUCAGAGAGCCUCUUCUUUUAAGAUUCUCCCACUGAUCCCGUUCUAGAAGCAGAGAGGAGGCCCGACCCAGCAUCGUCUGCUGGUGGGGAUACUGACCUAUGCAGGAUGCAGCUGAGGCUGUAACCUCCCGUCAGCACCUUGGACAUUGUCCGUUGCAGACAACCCUUAAUUAUCUCACCACAUAAGAGGAAGAGAACAAUAAACCACGAGGAGGGGGAAGGAGCAGAGUCCGCUAGGAUUCCCAGAGUUCUUGUCAGAAGCAGCAUCUGGGCGUGGAUGGGUGAGAGGACCUGCCCCCAGGGCUGGAAGGAACCAGCCUGUGGGACCAGGUGCCAGGUAUAUCAGGCUCAUAAUCCUCAUCAGCUCCAGAUCAGACUUUUAAAACCUGGAGGGAACCAUGGAAUAACUAGCAAAUGCUCUGGUUUUGCAGAUGAGGAAGCUGAGACCCAGAAAAGGGAGGAGACUUGCAUAAGGUCACAGUUUCUCUGUAUAUAACAGCCUUGGAUUCUCUGUAGCCGGCUGUCCAGGCCAUUGACCUUUGGGGUGGAUGCUCUGUUGCCUUUGGGAUUCCCAGGGCCCAUUUCUGUUUGCCAAGCUCUCUGGAACCCAGGCCCAAGGACCUUCCUGGCAUUAGUGCAAACUGCCUGGGAGGCUGAAGGCUCCUGUCCUUGCUGGCCAAGUUUACAACCAGAACGUGGGGAGGUUCUCCUGGAGCAGUAACACGCAUGCUUUGUGGCGAGCAUCCUCCCCGAGCCAGUCUGGGCCCCUGGGAGAAUGCAAGUUUCCCUUACAGGCACAGCCUUACUGGGCCCACAAAGGCCUGAGCUCAGGGUUGGGGGGAGAGGAAGUUGCUUUGCUACAUGGAAAGAUUAAGCCCUUUGUCAGAGAACAAGGUCCCACCAUGGGGCAUGCCGACACCUGAGCCGCAUGUGUGAGGCUCAGCUGGCAAAGCUGCUGCCCGAGGAGGCCAAGUUGCUCUCUUUGGCAUCACUGACAUCACUCUGAGAUGCUCAGGCACUCUUUCAAAAUAACCCUUGCCCAGCCAGCCCAGGCCGAUCCAGUUCCCAUCAGGCCUCACCGGAUCAGGUGGGGCACGCUUGCCCUUCAGUCACGACUGUUUUUGUUUUGCCCCAAUCUCUUCUGACCUGAGUGAAAAGCAGACUCGAGGGAGAAGGUAGGGGACAAGUCUACGUUCCUAUCUCCUCCCUGAUCAUGCAGGUGAACGGUAGUCCAGUACAGGAAGCAGCAUUUUAAGGAACCUCUUUCUGGGUCAGGAUAUUGGAGAAGAAAACUCCGGGGAGAGGAAGAGAGAGGGAGAGAGAAAGGAGCUGGCGGGCAGCAGACCUCUCCCCCUCCUGGCAGCCACUGCAGAUACCCUGCUGGCCGGACGGCCUCCUGGUCCUGAAGGACACGCUCCCGCCCCCCCCGCCCCCGACCCUCUCCACCGAUGAGCAAAGGCAGCAAUUUGUCCACAGGGUUACACAGUGCAGGAAGCAACCAAAGAAGCAGAAGAGCAACCUUUCUGAAGCCCUGCUGCUUUCUGGGCUGAAGAAGAUGGGGACUCGGAGGUCAUCAGGAGCUUUGGAGCCCCGGCUCGGGGGUGGGGGUGGGAGCCCAGCUUCUCCUGGGCUGCAGGGCGUGGAACAAGGACCCUGGUCGCGAGCCAGGACUCCUGGUAAUGCAGUCUAAGAUUGUGCUACAUUUCAUUUCCAAAGAAGUGCCCUUGCAGGGCUCUAGCGUCUUUAAAGGGGGCGGGAGGCUUCCGCUCUCCUCAAGGCUGGCAGUAAAGAAGAACUCAGGCAUGCUGGCCCUGGUGGGUGUUAGGCCCCCGGAAGAACCAGUGAUCCCAUGAGUGGUGAGUGAGAGGGGUAACCCUCUCUCUCGGCCCCCUGAAAUGCUGGCAAUGCCUGGGCUUGCUGCAUACGGAGAGCCUCCUUUCCUAAGAGUGCUGGGUCAGGUGAGAGACUGGGUGGGGAGUAGUUGGGGAGAUGGUUUGACAAAAGGGAUGUGAUCCUUCAGGGAAGAACCAAGACUUGGCCCCAUUCGCUGGAGUCUGAUUCAUACCAAAGGCCCAUCACAGCCAUCCCUUUAGGAAAGGAGUCUGUGAAGGAAGUGGGACAGAUUGAACACGGCAGAAACAUGAAGACAGAUGCUCUGAAUCAUCUCUCAUGGUUCCUGCCCACAGCCCGGCAGCGCUGCAGGGCUGUCUGUGCCACGUCUUCCAUGAAACCUGCCUGAGCAGAGGGAGAUGGAGUGACAAAAAGCCCAGCCUGUCAUCAGCCCCAGGGUCCCCUGGGGUGAGGAGCGGGCACGUGGAGCUGUGACGCUGCAUCUAACAGUGCCUGGGAGGAAUCAUGUUCCUCCCCUCCCCACCGUGCCCUCCUCAAGGGAUGGAUGCUCCCCCCUCCAGGAGAGGCCAGCAGUCACACGUGCUCCCUCCUCCACUGGGACAGGCUUGCUCCAGAGCAGCCUCUCAGACAAGCCCCUGCAUCUAGGAGGCCUAGACAGACCCGUAAGUCCAGCCGCUCACCACCACACGUAUAUGGAGCCUCACUAGACUUCAUUCUCAUGGGAGAAAAUCCAGGUGGGGUAACUGGAUUAACUUGAUUUGGUACAAAGGAUUAAAGGUAAUCCCCUAAGGUCGAUUUGGGUGGGGAAUGACUUCCCAUUAGUGAGUGUCCGACCUCUAGGACAGGUCAGGCCAUCCCUCUGGCUAGUAUGUGCCCCCUAGCCAACCUUCCCCGGAGGCAAGGGGCCAGCAGCCUUUGACUCCCCAGCAGAGCCUCAGCUGGUAGCUCCCCAUCUUUUGUCUUCCUGGGUCCCUAGGGGAAGAAGGGUGACACCCUGAUAGUUCUCGUUUCCUGGGGGUGACCGCAC
Molecule: long non-coding RNA, 3379 nt
Organism: Cervus hanglu yarkandensis (Yarkand deer)
Lineage: Eukaryota; Metazoa; Chordata; Mammalia; Artiodactyla; Cervidae
Source: Ensembl